AGCGAACGCUGGCGGCAGGCCUAACACAUGCAAGUCGAACGAACCUUUCGGGGUUAGUGGCGGACGGGUGAGUAACACGUGGGAACGUGCCUUUAGGUUCGGAAUAACUCAGGGAAACUUGUGCUAAUACCGAAUGUGCCCUUCGGGGGAAAGAUUAAUCGCCUUUAGAGCGGCCCGCGUCUGGUUAGCUAGUUGGUUGAGGUAAUGGCUCACCAAGGCGACGAACAGUAGCUGGUCUGGGAGGAGGAUCAGCCACAUUGGGGCUGCGACACGGCCCCAACCCCCACGGGGGGCAGGAGUUGGGAAUCCUGCGGAAGGGGCGGAAGCCUGGCGCCGCCCCGCCCGGUGAAAGGGGGAGGGCUUUGGAAUGGAAAAUUCUUUCACCGGGGACGAUAAUGACGGUACCCGGAGAAGAAGCCCCGGCUAACUUCGUG
This 434-nucleotide ribosomal RNA is filed under the name uncultured bacterium. Its description in RNAcentral is "partial 16S ribosomal RNA". It matches the Rfam family "Bacterial small subunit ribosomal RNA", at positions 28 to 507 of the family's 1533-position model. The record is from RNAcentral.